Molecule: ribosomal RNA, 484 nt
Filed under: uncultured bacterium
Lineage: Bacteria
Description: partial 16S ribosomal RNA
Rfam family: Bacterial small subunit ribosomal RNA
Source: RNAcentral
AUUGAACGCUGGCGGCAGGCCUAACACAUGCAAGUCGAGCGGAUGAAGGGAGCUUGCUCCUGGAUUCAGCGGAGGACGGGUGAGUAAUGCCUAGGAAUCUGCCUGGUAGUGGGGGAUAACGUCCGGAAACGGGCGCUAAUGCCGCAUACGUCCUGAGGGAGAAAGUGGGGGAUCUUCGGACCUCACGCUAUCAGAUGAGCCUAGGUCGGAUUAGCUAGUUGGUGGGGUAAAGGCCUACCAAGGCGACGAUCCGUAACUGGUCUGAGAGGAUGAUCAGUCACACUGGAACUGAGACACGGUCCAGACUCCUACGGGAGGCAGCAGUGGGGAAUAUUGGACAAUGGGCGAAAGCCUGAUCCAGCCAUGCCGCGUGUGUGAAGAAGGUCUUCGGAUUGUAAAGCACUUUAAGUUGGGAGGAAGGGCAGUAAGUUAAUACCUUGCUGUUUUGACGUUACCAACAGAAUAAGCACCGGCUAACUUCGUG